RNAcentral lists this ribosomal RNA (378 nucleotides) under Triticum aestivum (bread wheat). Its description in RNAcentral is "partial small subunit ribosomal RNA". The record is from RNAcentral. Lineage: Eukaryota; Viridiplantae; Streptophyta; Magnoliopsida; Poales; Poaceae.
AUGAUAACUUCGGAUGGUUGGAGACAGCGCUUCAGAGUUGAUGCUGCUAACAUUUCAGUAGAUCCAAGUUAUUCCGAUUUACUGCCUCAGCUGUGGAAUGGCAAAACUGGAGAACCAGAACUGAAGAGACUGAUUCUCUAUACCCCCACACUGAGCAAGCACGACGACAAUCUUCUAUACAUGAUGUCUAAGGUGAACAAGGAAGACGACAAGGCCUGGGUCAUCACCGUCGACAUGAAACACGAGACCGUGGAGGCAAUCGCCCCGUAUUCUACCAAAGGGCGCAAGCUCACUUCAUGGCACUGUCCAUGCACCUUUCCCAAGUACAUCGACCCGACGACCUCAGGGGAUCACGUGGCCAUGCACUCUAAGAGGUAA